UUAUCACAAAUCUCCCACCGUGUAAGUACAGUUUGUAUUCGUUUAAUAACAUUAUUGAGUUUUACUCGAAGGAACUGAAAUAAAUGAUGCACAUUGUCAGUAGCGAUGUGGCGUUGCUUUGAUUAGGCUAAAAUUAGCCGUUAUGCUAAAAGUAAGUCGAGUUUGAGCAAUAUGUCAUGUUAUCACAGCAAUCUGGUGCAGUUUAUCAGGGUCUUCCUACACUGGUCCUCAAAGACAGCUGGUCAACAUGUUUUCCAGCAUCUCUGCCCAUCAUCCACCUGCUGUGUGUUCAGUCAGAGCUGAAAAUGACUAUUUUAGGGUCAAUAACAAUCAGUCAUCUGUCAGACAGAAUUCAAGACUCUUUCUCCAGGCCGACUAAUUGUCUCCAGUGCAAAUGAUCCUCUGUCAUCACACUCCCUGAGGACACUCCAGAGUAGCAGGUCUACAUGUUCUGUUAAGAGACUGGAUUCUGAGAGCGAGAUCCUGUGAAGUGUUCAUCAAAGCUGAAGAGAAGAACUGGAUCUGUGUUCAGCAACUGUCCGGAGUUGGUGGAUGUUCUGUCAGAGCCUGAUUAAAAGAGUG
Danio rerio (zebrafish) is the source of this 582-nucleotide non-coding RNA. The record is from RefSeq and is a predicted model, not a curated record. NCBI's taxonomy places the organism in Eukaryota, Metazoa, Chordata, Actinopteri, Cypriniformes, Danionidae.